CAAAAUAUAGGGUUAGUUCCUUGCCAUUUUGUUUGUGAGCAGGGUAUCAAUUUUCAAAAUUUAGCUAAUUUGUUAGGGGUUUUAUUGAAAUGCAGUCCUGCAUAUAACAACGUACAUAUACAUGCAACUCUGAUGUAUUUAAAAUGAAAUCGUAUUGUAACUGAACUUUAUUGUACCUACACAUUUUCUCACUCUUGUUCUAACCACUGAAGAAUAAACAAGUACUUUUAAUACAAAAUUUAACAGGUUAUGAGCCCAGGUCCAAAUUCCUGCGGUUCAAGUGAUAAAGUGAAUAUAAUAUGAGUACGUCUCUAUCAGGGUUGGGCAUUUUUGCACUACCACUAAUUUGCACUACCACUAAAUAUUUAGUGAUAGUGAAAAACAAAUUGAACUACCACUAAACCUUUAGUGAUAGUGAAAAACAAAUUGCACUACCACUAAACCUUUAGUGAUAGUGAAAAACAAAUUGCACUACCACUAAAUAUUUAGUGAUAGUGAAAAACAAAUUGCAAUACCACUAAAUAUUUAGUGAUAGUGAAAAAAAAUGCACUAUCACUAAACCUUUACUUUACAGCCAUCCAUAAGUGCUAGUACAUCAUUUCUCGAAUUCGAUGACGAGUCCACAGAUGAAAAUCAAUGUAUACAAGGCGGAGCUGUAGCAACCGAAGUAACUUUGUACUUGAAUGACGCUGAUAGAAGCAUUGAUGCUUUGCACCGCUUUCCUAUUAUAAAAAAAAAAAAUUUUAAAUACAACACACCUCUUCCUUCCUCUGCGCCAGUGGAAAGACUUUUUUCCUUUGCUGGAAUUGUCAAUCGAUCCACAAGGCAAAAUCUCACCGACCGUAAUUUUGAAAUGUUGGUAUUAAAAAAAGCACAUAAAAAAUGAAUUAUGUUUUCCUAAUUUUGGUGCGGCAUAAUUAGAAGUCUCUACUCAAAUAUAUGGUUUAUUUUGAAUACAUUGCCUCAUACUGCUUCAGCUUAUACAUAUAUGUACAUACAUAAUCUUAUUUUUAUUCUUCAAGAAACAGUGUUAUGUUACUGAAAAAUGUUUAUUAUCACUAAGGGUUUUCACUAUCACUAAAGAUUUUCACUAUCACUAAAUAUUUAGUGGUAGUGCAAUUUGUUUUUCACUAUCACUAAAGGUUUAGUGAUAGUGCAAUUUGUUUUUCACUAUCACUAAAGGUUUAGUGGUAGUGCAUUUUUUUUUUCACUAUCACUAAAUUUUCAGUGAUAGUGAAUUUUGCUGUUUAACUACCACUGAAGAAGUAGUGCUAGUGAAACCUUAUUGCAUUUAUUUUUUAGUGCACUAUGCCCAACCCUGCUAUCUGGGCGUUUAUGACGCUAAGUGCUGUGGUGGUGCUGUGCACUUUGCGGAAUCCAUGCUGGUGGCUGGCUAGGCUCAGGUGGUGAGUGAAGGUCGGGAGUAACAAGGCCUCAAGUGUCUUCACUACUGGGGAGAGGAUAGUUAUCAGACGAUAAGAUUCCCCUUUGUUGGCGGGUUUCCCUGGUUUCAGUAGUGGGACCACUCUUCCGACUUUCCACACAUCGGGGAUUUGAAGAGUGGUGAGCGACAGGUUAAGGACCUUGGUGAGAUAUUUUACUCCCGUCGAGCCUAGAUGCUUUAGCACUAACAUGUUGAUUCUAUCGGGGCCAAUGGAUUUGGAAGAUGUUGCCUUGUUGAUGGCACCCUGAACCUCCGCAUCGGUGAAAGUAAGUGGCGCGCAGUUGUUUGGCAUUUUGCGCAGCCAUCGGUUAACACAUCUCUUAGCCUUGUCUACCAAAGGGUGCAGUGUAAACUGCCGGCUGAAAUAGCUCGCGCACUUCUUCGGGUCCGAAGAGGCACGAUCAUUGAAUUGAACUUCAACUCGGUCGUCAUGUCUCUUCGGAAUAGACAAAGCUUUGACAGUAGCCCAAAGCUUACUGACACCGGUGGAGAGGCUGCAGGACUUCAGGUGCUCUAUCCAUUUCGUCCGCUUAUGUUGAUUUACCAUGCGCCGAAUCUCCAAAUUGAGAUCCCUUAUUCGGGGAUCCCCGGGAUCGGCAUGGCGUAAGGUGUCGCGCUCGUUAGCUAGAACAGCUGCUUCGGCUGGGAAAUUGGGGCGAAUUUCCGCUAUUCUUCCAGCCGGGAUGAAGCCAGCGGUAGCUGCUGCGAUCACCUUGCGGAAUUGACGCUCGCCAACGCAUACGUCCGUAGGAAUGGGUAGAGCGUUGAAGUUGCUCUCGGUAAAUUCUGUGAAGCCGAUCCAAUUAGCUUUUUUAGAGUUAAUGAAGGUACGGUUGUCCACAGAAACGAAAUCAGGAGGCUUCUCGAUCGAGAUAAUUAUGGGCAGAUGGUCUGAUGCAAGAGUUAGCAUAGGUCGCCAGGUUAUGCUAUUUAUCAGACCACCGCUAGCAAAAGUAAUAUCGGGCGAGCUGAUACAGGUGCCCAUAACUCUGGUGGGGGCUUCGUCAUUCAUUGUGCAGAAUGUCGAGUCGUCAAUCUGUUCCGCCAGCUCCAUCCCCCUACGAUCAUUUGACAG
Long non-coding RNA from Bactrocera dorsalis (oriental fruit fly), 2519 nucleotides. RefSeq lists it as uncharacterized. The record is from RefSeq and is a predicted model, not a curated record. The transcript has 3 exons. NCBI's taxonomy places the organism in Eukaryota, Metazoa, Arthropoda, Insecta, Diptera, Tephritidae.